Molecule: transfer RNA, 74 nt
Filed under: Blattella germanica (German cockroach)
Lineage: Eukaryota; Metazoa; Arthropoda; Insecta; Blattodea; Blattellidae
Description: tRNA-Ile (AAT) (tRNA-Ile-AAT-16-1)
Rfam family: tRNA
About the family: Transfer RNA (tRNA) molecules are approximately 80 nucleotides in length. Their secondary structure includes four short double-helical elements and three loops (D, anti-codon, and T loops).
Source: RNAcentral
GGCCCGUUAGCUCAGUUGGUUAGAGCGUGGUGCUAAUAACGCCAAGGUCGUGGGUUCGAUCCCACCACGGGCCA